GCAGAUUUUGCUGAUUUUUUUUCCCAACGGGUACUGUGCGGGUUUCAGAUGUGAUCUUUUCUAGGAGUGGGGUUGCCGCUCAACCGGAAUGUAGUUGAGAGAUGGAUUGCAGAAUCAUCUUGGGAGACAUGGUACGUAGAUCCAUUUCAAAGAUUGCGGCAUCUACAUCUUUUAUCAAUUCAUCUGUUCAAACUUUAUGUUUCUUCAGGCUUAGAGUAUGCAUUGCCGAGCUUUUGCAUAAGAGGGACACAUAUAACUUGGUAUGGUUGAAUACUCCCUCUGUC
This 284-nucleotide long non-coding RNA is filed under the name Setaria viridis. RNAcentral's name for it is "long non-coding RNA (SVIR_LNC005116)". Lineage: Eukaryota; Viridiplantae; Streptophyta; Magnoliopsida; Poales; Poaceae. The record is from RNAcentral.